This is a long non-coding RNA of Pantherophis guttatus, 282 nucleotides long. RefSeq lists it as uncharacterized. Lineage: Eukaryota; Metazoa; Chordata; Lepidosauria; Squamata; Colubridae. The record is from RefSeq and is a predicted model, not a curated record.
UGACUGUUAUGUAUUCCAUAUGGACUCCUUGAAGUCUACUCAAAAGUGGCACUUUACAAAAUGCAGCAACCUGGUUGUUGGCAGGUAUGUAAGGCAUCUGAAGAUGGAAACCCCACACUUUUCAUCAUGCAAUGGAGAUUCCAAAACAGAAAUGACGUAAUAACAGCAGAGGGCAGAUACAGUUUGAAGAUGAGUGCUAACAGCUUUGCCAGAAGCAAGAUUUAGAGAAGGUGCAGAGUUUCCCAUGCAUCCAUCCCAUUGAAAAAGUUUUGACUACUAGGA